GUGAAUCAUCGAAUUUUUGAACGCAAAUUGCGCCUUUUUCGGAAGGCAUGUCUGUUUGAGGGCACCAUUUAACAAAUAAUGUGCAGCGUUUUUUGUUGCACACGUUGAUGAGCUUUCCAAGAAUUUUAAAUUUUUGGUGGCGCAUAAUGAACAGCGUGAAAGUUUUUUUCAGUUCGAGUGUAGUAAAAUUUUUUCUUGCUUGGGUUGUGAAAAGCGUGAUCGCGCAAAUGGGUGUGGCGAUUCUACUAACCCUGCCCCAACGCCACUCUUUCUCGCGAAAGAAUAUUAAUCUUCAGGGCC
RNAcentral lists this unclassified non-coding RNA (300 nucleotides) under Paraglomerales sp. RNAcentral describes it as "partial contains 5.8S ribosomal RNA and internal transcribed spacer 2". The stretch from base 1 to 65 matches the Rfam family "5.8S ribosomal RNA", at positions 84 to 154 of the family's 154-position model. The record is from RNAcentral. Lineage: Eukaryota; Fungi; Glomeromycota; Glomeromycetes; Paraglomerales.